This 292-nucleotide ribosomal RNA is filed under the name uncultured bacterium. RNAcentral describes it as "partial 16S ribosomal RNA". It matches the Rfam family "Bacterial small subunit ribosomal RNA", at positions 505 to 796 of the family's 1533-position model. The record is from RNAcentral.
GUGCCAGCCGCCGCGGUAAUACGAAGGGGGCUAGCGUUGUUCGGAUUUACUGGGCGUAAAGCGCGUGUAGGCGGGUCGUUAAGUUGGGGGUGAAAUCCCGAGGCUCAACCUCGGAACUGCCUUCAAAACUGGCGACCUGGACUCAAGCAGAGGCAAGUGGAAUUGCGAGUGUAGAGGUGAAAUUCGUAGAUAUUCGCAGGAACACCAGUGGCGAAGGCGACUUGCUGGGCUUGUGGUGACGCUGAGACGCGAAAGCGUGGGGAGCAAACAGGAUUAGAAACCCCUGUAGUCC